MUACGUGCCAGCAGCCGCGGUAAUACGGAGGAUGCGAGCGUUAUCCGGAUUUAUUGGGUUUAAAGGGUGCGUAGGCGGCCUGUUAAGUCAGCGGUGAAAUCUAGGAGCUUAACUCSUAAAUWGCCAUUGAAACUGGCGGGCUUGAGUGUAGAUGAGGUAGGCGGAAUGCGUGGUGUAGCGGUGGAAUGCAUAGAUAUCACGCAGAACUCCAAUUGCGAAGGCAGCUUACUAAGGUACAACUGACGCUGAAGCACGAAAGCGUGGGGAUCAAACAGGAUUAGAUACCCUGGUAGUCCACGCAGUAAACGAUGAAUACUAGAUUUUUGCGAUAUAGUGUAAGAGUCUAAGCGAAAGCGAUAAGUAUUCCACCUGGGGAGUACGCCGGCAACGGUGAAACUCAAAGGAAUUGACGGGGGCCCGCACAAGCGGAGGAACAUGUGGUUUAAUUCGAUGAUACGCGAGGAACCUUACCCGGGAUUGAA
RNAcentral lists this ribosomal RNA (482 nucleotides) under uncultured bacterium. RNAcentral's name for it is "bacterial SSU rRNA". It matches the Rfam family "Bacterial small subunit ribosomal RNA", at positions 501 to 985 of the family's 1533-position model. The record is from RNAcentral.